CCCGUCCUUCGGAACAGUCCCACGGGGGGACGCCCCGCUAGGGUUUUUAUAACUUUUACUGUUUUACAAUUUUGCUGCUACGCAGUAACAGCACAUAGCUUCUGCUGUUCCACUGUUCUUACUAUUAACUGAGCACAAAAUCAUUUAACUGGAUCAGUUUGAUUUUUUAUAGAAUCUGCAAGAAACACGGUUUUGUGUCGCAUUGUAAAAGUACCUCCGCAUACGACUUGUGUUGGUUAUCUGCCCAGCUGGAUUUGAGUUCUGAGACAGAACCAUGAGAGCAUAACCUUUCGCCUUCUCACGGGAAUCUGCCAUUGUGAUAUAGUCUGACUAAAAAACGAGAAACGAUCAGUGAUGGGUGAUCGUGAGGUGCCUGUUGCAUGGACGGAUGAAUGUUUUGAUGAUGUGUCGGAAGAAGAGUAUCCUGUCGCUGGGCCAGAGCGGAUCUUCGUUGUGAGAGUGCAAAGGAACCCCGCAGCCCCACGGCUCCCACCGCCACGACCACAGAGGGUUAGAGCACCGAUGAUCCACCAUCUGCCCAUCCCCAGUGCAGUAGCAACACAGUCGAUACAUGUCGCUGAAGAAACCAGAAUGCAUGUGCAGAAUCUUCCAACAAGAGCAUCCGAGUCCGCUACUCGAGAUGAUUUCAUCAGUGCAAAAGAUUCGGGCAAAUGAUUUCUGUGGACGCCAGUGGAAUAGGAGCAGAGUGGUGCGGCAGCGGUGCAUUUACACGUCCUGAAGACACAGAGAGCGCCGCGGAAAAGGGAUGCUGUUCGAAAAAUUUGUGUACCGUGAUUUCGUUCCCUUAAAUGCAGCGGAGAUGUGGUCAUGAAUUUCCGAAGUGUUUUCUGGAAGCGGCAUUGUUCAAGAACGGAAUGCUUCCAUGAGUUUACCAAUGCCUGAGCCCGCGAACAGUUUGCGCCCCUGUGCUUAUGCUUACGGUUUACACCAGAAUCCCCGGUACUGAUGGUUUUUAUUGAGUGAGGUUGAUCGGAUCAGUUUGGACUUUGGAUGUACUCUUUGUUUUAAAGGUGCCCGCUGUGUUAACGAAAAAAAGGGCAGUUUCUCUGGAUUGGUGGAUCUCAUCCACCUGCUGUUGUAAAUCUCUUUCUGUGUAAACACUGGUGACUGCGAUAAUACCUGGACGACUGUACAUGAACAAGAAUUUACGCUGAACCCUGGAAAUGUUUCAGCAUAAAAU
Long non-coding RNA from Paramacrobiotus metropolitanus, 1201 nucleotides. RefSeq lists it as uncharacterized. NCBI's taxonomy places the organism in Eukaryota, Metazoa, Tardigrada, Eutardigrada, Parachela, Macrobiotidae. The transcript is spliced from 5 exons. The record is from RefSeq and is a predicted model, not a curated record.